This 478-nucleotide ribosomal RNA is filed under the name uncultured bacterium. Its description in RNAcentral is "partial 16S ribosomal RNA". It matches the Rfam family "Bacterial small subunit ribosomal RNA", at positions 28 to 523 of the family's 1533-position model. The record is from RNAcentral.
GACGAACGCUGGCGGCGUGCUUAACACAUGCAAGUCGAACGGAAAGGCCCUUCGGGGUACUCGAGUGGCGAACGGGUGAGUAACACGUGGGUGAUCUGCCCUGCACUUUGGGAUAAGCCUGGGAAACUGGGUCUAAUACCGAAUAUGACCGCGCUCUUCAUGGGGUGUGGGGGAAAGCUUUUGCGGUGUGGGAUGGGCCCGCGGCCUAUCAGGUGGUUGGUGGGGUAAUGGCCUACCAAGGCGACGACGGGUGGCCGGCCUGAGAGGGUGACCGGCCACACUGGGAAUGAGAUACGGCCCAGACUCCUACGGGAGGCAGCGGGGGGGAAUAUUGCACAAGGGGCGCAAGCCUGAUGCAGCGACGCCGCGUGAGGGAUGACGGCCUUCGGGUUGUAAACCUCUUUCAAUAGGGACGAAGCGCAAGUGACGGUACCUAUAGAAGAAGGACCGGCCAACUACGUGCCAGCCGCCGCGGUAA